GCUGAAAGCAUCUAAGUGUGAAACCCACCUCAAGAUGAGAUUUCCCAUGAUUUUAUAUCAGUAAGAGCCCUGAGAGAAGAUCAGGUAGAUAGGUUAGAAGUGGAAGUGUGGCGACACAUGUAGCGGACUAAUACUAAUAGCUCGAGGACUUAUCCAA
RNAcentral lists this ribosomal RNA (157 nucleotides) under Streptococcus infantis. RNAcentral describes it as "partial 23S ribosomal RNA". It matches the Rfam family "Bacterial large subunit ribosomal RNA", at positions 2770 to 2925 of the family's 2925-position model. The record is from RNAcentral. RNAcentral also lists the same sequence under 1 other name. Lineage: Bacteria; Bacillati; Bacillota; Bacilli; Lactobacillales; Streptococcaceae.